GACGAACGCUGGCGGCAUGCUUAACACAUGCGAGUCGAACGAUGAAGAAGAGAAUCGCGAACUUCGGUUCGAAAUUCGCUUCGGAUUAGUGGCAGACGGGUGAGUAACGCGUGAACAACCUACCUCUUACAGAGGGAUAGCCUCGGGAAACCGAGAUUAGUACCCUAUGACACAUUCAGUGAGGAAUCUUAAGAAUGUUAAUGCUACCGCGGUAAGAGAGGGGCUGGCGUCCCAUUAGCUAGUUGGUGAGGUAACGGCCCACCAAGGCGACGAUGGGUAACCGGCCUGAGAGGGUGAACGGUCACAUUGGAACUGAGACACAGGUCCAAACUCCUACGGGAGGCAGCAGUGGGGAAUAUUGUACAAUGGGAGGAACUCUGAUGCAGAGACGCCGCAUGAGCGAUGAAAGAAUUCGUUGCGUAAAGCUCUGCUCUAUGGGAAGACAAGGACUGUACCGCUAGAGAGAGCCCCGGCUAAAUACCUGGCAACACCCGCGGUAAGACGUAUGGGGCGAGCGUAGUGCGGAAUUCAUGAGCUUCAGGGGUACACCCGCGGUUGACCAAGUUUGGAUGUGAAAUCUUGUAGCUCAACUACAAACGUGCAUCCAAAACUGGCUAACUUGAGUUAAGGAGAGGUAAGUGGAAUUCCUGGUGUAGCGGUGGAAUGCGUAGAUAUCAGGAGGAAUAUCGGUGGCGAAGGCGACUUACUGGACUUAUACUGACGCUGAGGUACGAAAGCGUGGGGAGCAAACAGGAUUAGAUACCCUGGUAGUCCACGCCGUAAACGAUGAGUGCUAGGUGUCGGGGGUCAAACCUCGGUGCCGACGUUAACACAUUAAGCACUCCGCCUGGGGAGUACGUGCGCAAGCAUGAAACUCAAAGGAAUUGACGGGGACCCGCACAAGCAGCGGAGCAUGUGGUUUAAUUCGUGGCUACGCGAAGAACCUUACCAGGGCUUGACAUAUACAUGAUAGAACCUAGAGAUAGGGAAAAGGAGGAAACUUGUUUCCUACAUGUAUACAGGUGGUGCAUGGUUGUCGUCAGCUCGUGUCGUGAGAUGUUGGGUUAAGUCCCGCAACGAGCGCAACCCUUGCAUAUAGUUACUAACAGAUCAUGCUGAGGACUCUAUAUGGACUGCCGAUGAUAAAUUGGAGGAAGGUGGGGAUGACGUCAAAUCAUCAUGCCCUUUAUGUCCUGGGCUACACACGUGCUACAAUGGUCGGUACAAAGAGCAGCGAAAUGGUGACAUCAAGCGAAUCUCAAAAAGCCGAUCCCAGUUCGGAUUGUACUCUGCAACUCGAGUACAUGAAGUCGGAGUUGCUAGUAAUCGUAGAUCAGAAUGCUACGGUGAAUGCGUUCCCGGGUCU
RNAcentral lists this ribosomal RNA (1366 nucleotides) under uncultured bacterium. RNAcentral describes it as "bacterial SSU rRNA". It matches the Rfam family "Bacterial small subunit ribosomal RNA", at positions 28 to 1381 of the family's 1533-position model. The record is from RNAcentral.